GACCUGCGGUGCAUUAGCUAGUUGGUAAGGUAACGGCUUACCAAGGCAAUGAUGCAUAGCCGAGUUGAGAGACUGAUCGGCCACAUUGGGACUGAGACACGGCCCAAACUCCUACGGGAGGCAGCAGUAGGGAAUCUUCCACAAUGGACGAAAGUCUGAUGGAGCAACGCCGCGUGAGUGAAGAAGGGUUUCGGCUCGUAAAGCUCUGUUGGUAGUGAAGAAAGAUAGAGGUAGUAACUGGCCUUUAUUUGACGGUAAUUACUUAGAAAGUCACGGCUAACUACGUGCCAGCAGCCGCGGUAAUACGUAGGUGGCAAGCGUUGUCCGGAUUUAUUGGGCGUAAAGCGAGUGCAGGCGGUUCAAUAAGUCUGAUGUGAAAGCCUUCGGCUCAACCGGAGAAUUGCAUCAGAAACUGUUGAACUUGAGUGCAGAAGAGGAGAGUGGAACUCCAUGUGUAGCGGUGGAAUGCGUAGAUAUAUGGAAGAACACCAGUGGCGAAGGCGGCUCUCUGGUCUGCAACUGACGCUGAGGCUCGAAAGCAUGGGUAGCGAACAGGAUUAGAUACCCUGGUAGUCCAUGCCGUAAACGAUGAGUGCUAAGUGUUGGGAGGUUUCCGCCUCUCAGUGCUGCAGCUAACGCA
This 640-nucleotide ribosomal RNA is filed under the name uncultured bacterium. Its description in RNAcentral is "bacterial SSU rRNA". It matches the Rfam family "Bacterial small subunit ribosomal RNA", at positions 228 to 859 of the family's 1533-position model. The record is from RNAcentral.